UACGAAGGGAGCUAGCGUUGCUCGGAAUCACUGGGCGUAAAGGGUGCGUAGGCGGGUCUUUAAGUCAGGGGUGAAAUCCUGGAGCUCAACUCCGGAACUGCCUUUGAUACUGGGGAUCUCGAGUCCGGGAGAGGUGAGUGGAAUUGCGAGUGUAGAGGUGAAAUUCGUAGAUAUUCGCAAGAACACCAGUGGCGAAGGCGGCUCACUGGCCCGGUACUGACGCUGAGGUGCGAAAGCGUGGGGAGCAAACAGG
RNAcentral lists this ribosomal RNA (253 nucleotides) under uncultured bacterium. RNAcentral's name for it is "partial 16S ribosomal RNA". It matches the Rfam family "Bacterial small subunit ribosomal RNA", at positions 524 to 776 of the family's 1533-position model. The record is from RNAcentral.